This 2921-nucleotide ribosomal RNA is filed under the name Staphylococcus aureus. Its description in RNAcentral is "23S ribosomal RNA". It matches the Rfam family "Bacterial large subunit ribosomal RNA". The record is from RNAcentral. Lineage: Bacteria; Bacillati; Bacillota; Bacilli; Caryophanales; Staphylococcaceae.
UUAAGUUAUUAAGGGCGCACGGUGGAUGCCUUGGCACUAGAAGCCGAUGAAGGACGUUACUAACGACGAUAUGCUUUGGGGAGCUGUAAGUAAGCUUUGAUCCAGAGAUUUCCGAAUGGGGAAACCCAGCAUGAGUUAUGUCAUGUUAUCGAUAUGUGAAUACAUAGCAUAUCAGAAGGCACACCCGGAGAACUGAAACAUCUUAGUACCCGGAGGAAGAGAAAGAAAAUUCGAUUCCCUUAGUAGCGGCGAGCGAAACGGGAAGAGCCCAAACCAACAAGCUUGCUUGUUGGGGUUGUAGGACACUCUGUACGGAGUUACAAAGGACGACAUUAGACGAAUCAUCUGGAAAGAUGAAUCAAAGAAGGUAAUAAUCCUGUAGUCGAAAAUGUUGUCUCUCUUGAGUGGAUCCUGAGUACGACGGAGCACGUGAAAUUCCGUCGGAAUCUGGGAGGACCAUCUCCUAAGGCUAAAUACUCUCUAGUGACCGAUAGUGAACCAGUACCGUGAGGGAAAGGUGAAAAGCACCCCGGAAGGGGAGUGAAAUAGAACCUGAAACCGUGUGCUUACAAGUAGUCAGAGCCCGUUAAUGGGUGAUGGCGUGCCUUUUGUAGAAUGAACCGGCGAGUUACGAUUUGAUGCAAGGUUAAGCAGUAAAUGUGGAGCCGUAGCGAAAGCGAGUCUGAAUAGGGCGUUUAGUAUUUGGUCGUAGACCCGAAACCAGGUGAUCUACCCUUGGUCAGGUUGAAGUUCAGGUAACACUGAAUGGAGGACCGAACCGACUUACGUUGAAAAGUGAGCGGAUGAACUGAGGGUAGCGGAGAAAUUCCAAUCGAACCUGGAGAUAGCUGGUUCUCUCCGAAAUAGCUUUAGGGCUAGCCUCAAGUGAUGAUUAUUGGAGGUAGAGCACUGUUUGGACGAGGGGCCCCUCUCGGGUUACCGAAUUCAGACAAACUCCGAAUGCCAAUUAAUUUAACUUGGGAGUCAGAACAUGGGUGAUAAGGUCCGUGUUCGAAAGGGAAACAGCCCAGACCACCAGCUAAGGUCCCAAAAUAUAUGUUAAGUGGAAAAGGAUGUGGCGUUGCCCAGACAACUAGGAUGUUGGCUUAGAAGCAGCCAUCAUUUAAAGAGUGCGUAAUAGCUCACUAGUCGAGUGACACUGCGCCGAAAAUGUACCGGGGCUAAACAUAUUACCGAAGCUGUGGAUUGUCCUUUGGACAAUGGUAGGAGAGCGUUCUAAGGGCGUUGAAGCAUGAUCGUAAGGACAUGUGGAGCGCUUAGAAGUGAGAAUGCCGGUGUGAGUAGCGAAAGACGGGUGAGAAUCCCGUCCACCGAUUGACUAAGGUUUCCAGAGGAAGGCUCGUCCGCUCUGGGUUAGUCGGGUCCUAAGCUGAGGCCGACAGGCGUAGGCGAUGGAUAACAGGUUGAUAUUCCUGUACCACCUAUAAUCGUUUUAAUCGAUGGGGGGACGCAGUAGGAUAGGCGAAGCGUGCGAUUGGAUUGCACGUCUAAGCAGUAAGGCUGAGUAUUAGGCAAAUCCGGUACUCGUUAAGGCUGAGCUGUGAUGGGGAGAAGACAUUGAGUCUUCGAGUCGUUGAUUUCACACUGCCGAGAAAAGCCUCUAGAUAGAAAAUAGGUGCCCGUACCGCAAACCGACACAGGUAGUCAAGAUGAGAAUUCUAAGGUGAGCGAGCGAACUCUCGUUAAGGAACUCGGCAAAAUGACCCCGUAACUUCGGGAGAAGGGGUGCUCUUUAGGGUUAACGCCCAGAAGAGCCGCAGUGAAUAGGCCCAAGCGACUGUUUAUCAAAAACACAGGUCUCUGCUAAACCGUAAGGUGAUGUAUAGGGGCUGACGCCUGCCCGGUGCUGGAAGGUUAAGAGGAGUGGUUAGCUUCUGCGAAGCUACGAAUCGAAGCCCCAGUAAACGGCGGCCGUAACUAUAACGGUCCUAAGGUAGCGAAAUUCCUUGUCGGGUAAGUUCCGACCCGCACGAAAGGCGUAACGAUUUGGGCACUGUCUCAACGAGAGACUCGGUGAAAUCAUAGUACCUGUGAAGAUGCAGGUUACCCGCGACAGGACGGAAAGACCCCGUGGAGCUUUACUGUAGCCUGAUAUUGAAAUUCGGCACAGCUUGUACAGGAUAGGUAGGAGCCUUUGAAACGUGAGCGCUAGCUUACGUGGAGGCGCUGGUGGGAUACUACCCUAGCUGUGUUGGCUUUCUAACCCGCACCACUUAUCGUGGUGGGAGACAGUGUCANGCGGGCAGUUUGACUGGGGCGGUCGCCUCCUAAAAGGUAACGGAGGCGCUCAAAGGUUCCCUCAGAAUGGUUGGAAAUCAUUCAUAGAGUGUAAAGGCAUAAGGGAGCUUGACUGCGAGACCUACAAGUCGAGCAGGGUCGAAAGACGGACUUAGUGAUCCGGUGGUUCCGCAUGGAAGGGCCAUCGCUCAACGGAUAAAAGCUACCCCGGGGAUAACAGGCUUAUCUCCCCCAAGAGUUCACAUCGACGGGGAGGUUUGGCACCUCGAUGUCGGCUCAUCGCAUCCUGGGGCUGUAGUCGGUCCCAAGGGUUGGGCUGUUCGCCCAUUAAAGCGGUACGCGAGCUGGGUUCAGAACGUCGUGAGACAGUUCGGUCCCUAUCCGUCGUGGGCGUAGGAAAUUUGAGAGGAGCUGUCCUUAGUACGAGAGGACCGGGAUGGACAUACCUCUGGUGUACCAGUUGUCGUGCCAACGGCAUAGCUGGGUAGCUAUGUGUGGACGGGAUAAGUGCUGAAAGCAUCUAAGCAUGAAGCCCCCCUCAAGAUGAGAUUUCCCAACUUCGGUUAUAAGAUCCCUCAAAGAUGAUGAGGUUAAUAGGUUCGAGGUGGAAGCAUGGUGACAUGUGGAGCUGACGAAUACUAAUCGAUCGAAGACUUAAUCAA